ACGGAAGGCAGCAGUGGGGAAUAUUGGGCAAUGGGCGCAAGCCUGACCCAGCAACGCCGCGUGAAGGAAGAAGGCUUUCGGGUUGUAAACUUCUUUUGUAAGGGACGGGAAGAAGACGGUACCUUAUGAAUAAGCCACGGCUAACUACGUGCCAGCAGCCGCGGUAAUACGUAGGUGGCAAGCGUUAUCCGGAUUUACUGGGUGUAAAGGGCGCGUAGGCGGGGAUGCAAGUCAGAUGUGAAAUCUAUGGGCUCAACUCAUAAACUGCAUUUGAAACUGUAUCUCUUGAGUGCUGGAGAGGUAGACGGAAUUCCUUGUGUAGCGGUGAAAUGCGUAGAUAUAAGGAAGAACACCGGUGGCGAAAGCGGUCUACUGGACAGUAACUGACGCUGAGGCGCGAGAGCGUGGGGAGCAAACAGGAUUAGAUACCCUGGUA
The sequence is a ribosomal RNA, 436 nucleotides long. It matches the Rfam family "Bacterial small subunit ribosomal RNA", at positions 341 to 792 of the family's 1533-position model.